This 479-nucleotide ribosomal RNA is filed under the name uncultured bacterium. Its description in RNAcentral is "partial 16S ribosomal RNA". It matches the Rfam family "Bacterial small subunit ribosomal RNA", at positions 28 to 507 of the family's 1533-position model. The record is from RNAcentral.
GAUGAACGCUAGCGGGAGGCCUAACACAUGCAAGCCGAGCGGUAGAGAUUCUUCGGAAUCUUGAGAGCGGCGUACGGGUGCGGAACACGUGUGCAACCUGCCUUUAUCAGGGGGAUAGCCUUUCGAAAGGAAGAUUAAUACCCCAUAAUAUAUUUGAUGGCAUCAUUAGAUAUUGAAAGCUUUGGCGGAUAGAGAUGGGCACGCGCAAGAUUAGAUAGUUGGUGAGGUAACGGCUCACCAAGUCGAUGAUCUUUAGGGGGCCUGAGAGGGUGAUCCCCCACACUGGAACUGAGACACGGACCAGACUCCUACGGGAGGCAGCAGUGAGGAAUAUUGGACAAUGGGUUAGCGCCUGAUCCAGCCAUCCCGCGUGAAGGACGACGGCCCUAUGGGUUGUAAACUUCUUUUGUACAGGGAUAAACCUACUCUCGUGAGAGUAGCUGAAGGUACUGUACGAAUAAGCACCGGCUAACUCCGUG